CCCAGUUCGGACUGGAGUCUGCAACCCGACUCCACGAAGUUGGAUUCGCUAGUAAUCGCGCAUCAGCCAUGGCGCGGUGAAUACGUUCCCGGGCCUUGUACACACCGCCCGUCAAGCCAUGGGAGCCGGGGGCGCCUGAAGUCCCGGGACCGCGAGGACCGGCCUAGGGCGAAACUGGUAACUGGGGCUAAGUCGUAACAAGGUAGC
Molecule: ribosomal RNA, 207 nt
Filed under: uncultured bacterium
Lineage: Bacteria
Description: partial 16S ribosomal RNA
Rfam family: Bacterial small subunit ribosomal RNA
Source: RNAcentral